This 642-nucleotide ribosomal RNA is filed under the name uncultured bacterium. RNAcentral's name for it is "bacterial SSU rRNA". It matches the Rfam family "Bacterial small subunit ribosomal RNA", at positions 94 to 740 of the family's 1533-position model. The record is from RNAcentral.
CACGGCGCACGGGUGCGUAACACGUGGGUAAUCUGCCCUCUGAUGGGGAAUAACUCGCCGAAAGGCGAGCUAAUUCCGCAUAACAUUCCUUGGACUCCGGUCCGGGGAUUCAAAGGCGUAAGUCGUCGGAGGUGGAGCCCGCGCACGAUUAGCUAGUUGGUGAGGUAAUGGCUCACCAAGGCUAUGAUCGUUAGCUGGUCUGAGAGGAUGGCCAGCCACACUGGAACUGAGACACGGUCCAGACUCCUACGGGAGGCAGCAGUGGGGAAUCUUGCACAAUGGGCGAAAGCCUGAUGCAGCGACGCCGCGUGGGGGAUGAAGCAUUUCGGUGUGUAAACCCCUUUCGAUCCGGACGAAACCCCGCAAGGGAUUGACGGUACGGAUAUAAGAAGCCCCGGCUAACUACGUGCCAGCAGCCGCGGUAAGACGUAGGGGGCCAGCGUUGUUCGGAAUUACUGGGUGUAAAGGGUUCGUAGGCGGUGCGGCAAGUUGGGAGUGAAAUCUCUGGGCUUAACCCAGAGGCUGCUUCCAAAACUGCUGUGCUUGAGUGUGGGAGAGGCGCGUGGAAUUGCAGGUGUAGCGGUGAAAUGCGUAGAUAUCUGCAGGAACACCCGUGGCGAAAGCGGCGCGCUGGACCACUAC